UACGUAGGGGGCUGGCGUUGUCCGGAAUCAUUGGGCGUAAAGAGCGUGUAGGCGGCCCGGUAAGUCCGCUGUGAAAGUCGGGGGCUCAACCCUCGAAUGCCGGUGGAUACUGUCGGGCUAGAGUGCGGAAGAGGCGAGUGGAAUUCCUGGUGUAGCGGUGAAAUGCGCAGAUAUCAGGAGGAACACCGAUUGCGAAGGCAGCUCGCUGGGACGUAACUGACGCUGAGACGCGAAAGCGUGGGGAGCAAACAGG
Molecule: ribosomal RNA, 253 nt
Filed under: uncultured bacterium
Lineage: Bacteria
Description: partial 16S ribosomal RNA
Rfam family: Bacterial small subunit ribosomal RNA
Source: RNAcentral